AAAGAGCACAAGAUUAAAAACAUAACUGUUUACUGUACAUUUAAAUCCAAAUGUCUGUAAGCAUAUAUGCUGUUUUCUUCUUUUUGGUCACAGAAGCUGUUCUGGGAGUGACACUGGAGCAAAAAGAUCUCUCCAUGACAAAAGAGGAGGGCAAAACUAUACCUAUCAGAUGCAAAGUAACUGGAUUAUCCACUGAGUAUGUCCACUGGUACCAAAAGAAAGAUGGUGAAGCUCUCAAAAGGAUCCUAUAUGUCAAAAAAGGCAGCCCACUUACUCCGGAUAAUAACCAUCCUGAUGCAAAACAGUUUUAUGUAAGGAUACAGGAUGAUAAUUACGAUCUGCAAAUAGCUAAACUGAAGAAAAGCCACUCUGCAGUGUAUUAUUGUGCCAGCUGGGCAGGCUCCCACAAUGACACUAAAUAUUUAGCGUGUGUACAAAAACCCUGA
Molecule: non-coding RNA, 446 nt
Organism: Clarias gariepinus (North African catfish)
Lineage: Eukaryota; Metazoa; Chordata; Actinopteri; Siluriformes; Clariidae
Source: the annotation of a RefSeq genome assembly